AAACAGCUGCGUUUCUCCAGCAGGCCUACGGUGAUUUUAUUAGUAUCGUCGUCUGCGAUGUGCGUCUGCAGAUCUGCGUGUGACGCAGGCGACCAGCAGCCAAUGGCGUGACACACAAACGCAGCAGAGUUGCGCAGUUACAUUGCGAGAGGAGCGCAGCCAUUACACUUGAUCUUAAAUCUUUAGAAAACGUCGUGCGGAUUGCACUGGCCAAUCAGUUUUCUCUACAAAUUCCGUGACAGUAUUCUGAAAUUAGCACUCAAAUCCGAGCGGGAUUUUCGCGAUCUCUGCUUAGGAAAGUUGUGAAACUUUAUAAACCGGGUUACUUCACAAGGUGUAGCGCGUCUGCUAGUGUCAGUGUUUCUCAGCUCGCAUCUCACGCGCGCUUUGAUGCAGCGCGAUGAUGGGCACACCUCUGAAGAACGAGCCGUCUGCUGCUGGUUGCAUGCCGUUGUGUUCUGACCUUACGUCUACCGGCGACUCGACUGCACGAGCAUCAUCACAGCAGCGCGAGCAGAUCGAGGCCCCGACUCCUGUUUUACUCUAUCCCAUCAGCGUUAACAGUGCUUUAUCAUCUUCACCCAUUUUUAACAACAAAGUCCCACAUGGUGGUCGAGGGAUUGAAGCUGUUUCCACAUCUUCUGAGUUCACCCAUGGUGCCAUCGUGCACCUCAUCGAAGCGAUGCAGAGGUGCUGGGAUGUUUACAGCUCACGCGAGCGCUCGCUUCUCUUCCAGAGCGUUCAGAAAGAACUGGAAAGCCACGGUCACUCCUUACCCGUAGAGAAGAUUCGCCGCAAAUGGAAUAACCUCAUUGUUACAUACAAAAGAGUUAAAGAUCGCAGCUCGUUGUGUGGAGGCCAAACAAAGACCUCAUGGGAGUACUUCGAAAUGAUGGAUAAUAUACUAGGAAAGACUAAAUUUGCUCAGAGAGGCCCUGCUUCAGCCACUCUUGUUGGAUUUGCAACCACAGCCAAAGCAGGUGUAAGAUCAGAGGAUCAUGCGUCUAACAGCAUGCCGGUGGCUGCAAUGACCGCCUCGUGCCUCCUUCCCACUGGAAUCAUCACAUCCUCUUCCCAGAUCCCUACUCUUGUGACGUCCCCGGUGCUGUGCAAAGUUACCCCAAAAUUAAACCCCAGCCCCUCUUGUAGCACAGACACACCUCUGCCCUCCCUUUCACCAAAGCCAGUGCCGCUGGUGAACCGUCAGCCGCUGAAGCGGAGGCUACACCAUCUUCGGCUCAACUCCAUGGCCUCUCGUGUAGCUCAGCAGCAGGGGCAAUCUGAGGAACGCACCGCUCUUCUUCGCAGUUUCCUCACCGCUCAAGAAGAGCGCAUCCAUUUAGACGAGCAACACCAACGCAAGGUAGAUGUGCGUGAGCGACGCAAGGAAAAAUCAGCACGGGCCAUGGCUGAUGCGAUGGGGAGGAUGGCGACGGCACUGGAGCUGAUCUCAUCCAAGCAGGACACCAUUAUCGCUCUACUCCAGAGACUGGCUGAUAAGCACUAAUAUUGCUUUUAUAACAAAAUUGCAUUUAAUUUAAAGUAUAUAAAGUGUGUCCUGUUGUUCAUGGUACAAGUAAUUGAUUUGGGAACCUGUUUCUAGUUGAAAAAGCUUGAACGAUACUGGAAAACAUGGACUCUUUAACAUUAACAAUAUAUACAGAGCCUAUAAAAAUUAUUCCUUCCUUGUAAGUUUUCAUGUUUCACUGUUUCGCAAAGGGUUUUAUUUGGCUAUUUUGACAGUGAAUAACAGUAUUGUUUGAGUCCGUACAAAACUUAUUACAGUUAUGAAUAAUAAUAAUAAAACUCUUCUUUUUGAAGAUGUGUAGUUUUAAAAGUAAAAAUAAGAUUGCAUUUGUUUUAAUUAUUGUUGCCCUCAAGUGAACACUGGCAUAACACACACCACACACACUGCUCUUAUUCAGCAAUAUGCGUCUUUAGCCGUUCACAGGCCCCAGCUCUUAUUCUGAUACUCAGUUUUUAAUACUGUUUUGGAUAUAAAUCAGCUUUACUUGCAGUGAGUCGUUCCCAAGCUGAAC
Long non-coding RNA from Cyprinus carpio carpio, 2039 nucleotides. NCBI's taxonomy places the organism in Eukaryota, Metazoa, Chordata, Actinopteri, Cypriniformes, Cyprinidae. The record is from Ensembl.